Molecule: ribosomal RNA, 274 nt
Filed under: uncultured bacterium
Lineage: Bacteria
Description: partial 16S ribosomal RNA
Rfam family: Bacterial small subunit ribosomal RNA
Source: RNAcentral
AUACGGAAGGGGCAAGCGUUGUUCGGAAUCAUUGGGCGUAAAGGGCGCGUAGGCGGUCUCGCAUGUCCGCUGUAAAAGCACACGGCUCAACCGUGGAGAGUCGGUGGAAACUGCGAGACUUGAGGCUGGGAGGGGCUGGUGGAAUUCCCUGUGUAGCGGUGAAAUGCGUAGAUAUGCGGGAGAACACUCGUGGCGAAGGCGGCCAGCUGGACCAGUUCUGACGCUGAGGCGCGACAGCGUGGGGAGCAAACAGGAUUAGAAACCCCGGUAGUCC